AGCAAAGGAGGUAAUGUCCGGUUCUGAGGCAGUUGACCAAUUAAUAUCUACACAAGCCGACUAUCAUAUGAGUGUUAGAGGUAAAUCUGAGUGGAGAUAGAAGACCUCCAUCAUAGGUUAUGUUUGCAUAGCGAGGAAAGGAAUGAUGUAUAAUACUUCUGUAGGAGAAUUAACUUGUCUAGGGCAAAAAGCUUAUGAUGAUGAUACAAAGAAUACAACUUGGUGGUCGGCUUCAAAUAUCUCAGAACCAUCUAACCCGUUUGCAAGAUAUGCCAAUUUAAAGGGCGUAUGGUUUGAUCUAUCC
Molecule: non-coding RNA, 304 nt
Organism: Pelobates cultripes (western spadefoot toad)
Lineage: Eukaryota; Metazoa; Chordata; Amphibia; Anura; Pelobatidae
Source: the annotation of a GenBank genome assembly